Long non-coding RNA from Lynx canadensis (Canada lynx), 4601 nucleotides. RefSeq lists it as uncharacterized. The transcript has 3 exons. NCBI's taxonomy places the organism in Eukaryota, Metazoa, Chordata, Mammalia, Carnivora, Felidae. The record is from RefSeq and is a predicted model, not a curated record.
UUUGCAUUCCUGUUCUCCCGUGGUGUGGGGUAAAAUAAUACAAUUCCAUUCAGAUCCAGGACUUUGGGGGAAAUGAAGAGCCAGGAAGUCCAGACCCUCAUAGGGCAGCGAUUUUUGGCUAAAAGCAAGUCCGAUGGAGAGUGUGGAUUCAAUUUACGUGAAUUAUUUAUGCUCUGUCUUUAUAAUCAUAUGAUGUGUUGGGGGCAUUUUUUUGUGCAUUUAAUAAUCAAAUGCCUGCUAUAGUUCAGUGGCAGGAGAUGUCAAUGCAGGUUGUGCCCUGGGUUGUGCGUGACUCCAAGGAGGGUCCCUAGAGAUGGUGGCCUUCUUUGGUGACAAGGCUGAUAAUAAACCCUUCAGCCUGGCAGGAAGCAGUGGGGAGCCAGGCCUUGUAUCCAUGCCUGUGAAUGCCUCCUUUUUUGAACAGGGUAGAGACGUCCUAAAGAAAAGGAAUAAACAAGAGGUCAGACGGGACUCUCAAGGCAGCAGCCUACAUACACACACACACACACACACACACACACAGACGCACACACACACGCACGUACACACACACACACACACACACACACACACACAACCACAAUAUAAGCUUUAGAAAUAGCCACUUGCCUAUUCCCUGGGGCAAGUAAUGGUUUUAAGCUAGAGGAGUCUGAUCGAUGCUCUUUUGUUCAUUUAACUACCAGUAUACCUCGCAAGGGAGUUUUUUUAAACAAAAUGUGCGUGAGCUGUUACAAACUUCUGUUCAUGUUUCCACAUCUGACUUAUGCAUAUCUGAUAUGCAGAGAUCCUACAUUGUGGGUGCAGGUCGUGUUCGGGGGAGGAAGGAAGAUCUGCGUUGUCCGUGGUCAGGUCCUCUCACUCGGCAGAGGGUGGGCAGAGAGGACGGUGUGAUCGGGCCACAGGCCAGGCCCCCGUGUCUCCAACCUGCUCGGCUCAGACGUAGAACUGUGGUGGCUUCCUUCCUUCUUGGUUUAGCUUGUCUCCGAGGCCUCGUGCCGCUGUUGAGAACCGUAGUGGAAAUGUCAUCAACACUGAACAUGUCAUUCCCCUUUCCUUGUCCUGCCCGUACCUUCACUCCCCACACGUCCCCUCCCCCCACCCCUAUGGUCUUGGUGCUAAGAUAACUUUAGAAUCAUUGCUGCUAGUUGAUAGCUUUUCAUUAUAUAAAUAUAUUAUAUAUAUAUAUAUUAUAUAUUAUUUUUGAAACUUUUUCGUUUGUUUUCAACAGUGAUGUAGCAUGUUAAAAAAAAAAAAAAAAAACAAGAAACAAAAAAAAAACAAACCACCCGGUUUUCUCCAACUGUCCCACUGCCAGGCCUCAUAUGCUGCCUUGUUCAACAAAUCAAUGCACCCCUGCCUGGUGACAUUCACCACCCACCCCCCCCCUCCUGGCCCCCUUCCCAGUCCCUCGUACUUCCCCACCCUCCUCUGAACAAGGAGAGAGCAGAAACUAGCAAGGAAACACCCAAAGCUCUUUCUGAGGCUUCGGAAUUCCCAGCCUCAAACCAUGUCCGUACUUCAAGCUGAUGUGUUCCCUACCCGCCCCCCCCCGCCCCCCACCCGCCCUCCGCCGCUCCUCCCAUCCGGGUCAGUAUUUGUGGUCAAGUGGGAUGCCUUUGCAAAGCACAAGGUUCCACCCUACCCUCCCGGACAUUCUGUCCGCCACACACAAAAACUAUCAUGCCUGUGGGAGCUUUCUUGGAACAUCACGCGGACUAAGGGAGGACAAAGACACCCCCUGCCAUCCAGUAUCUGUGGAAGCUGAGGGUAGCCCAGCCCCGUCUACAGCUCUCGCCACAUCAGAAUCCCCACGUUUUGCCCACCCCGUCGGACAGGAGAGUCCAGGCAUCCAAAACACCAGGUCCUACGCCCAGUUUGUGCAGAGGGUUCCGGGGACACUGGACCUCACGCCCCCCUCACCCCUUCAAGUGGCCACCCUAGCCAGGUCAGCCUGGGACAGCCAAAGCAGGGAGGCCAGGCCUCCUUAGGUGAGAAAGGCGUGUUUGGACAGCAGGGGACCCUGGGACGGUCCCAUUGCAGACACCAGCCUCCUGGGAGUGGUCAUGGGUUCUGUGCUGGGUCGUGGGUUCUGGCCUUGUUUCCUCCUCAUAUCUUGAGGAAGGAAGAUUUCCUCCAGAGACACGUGGGGCCCUUCUGCUUGGAGGGAGACCUCUCUCCUGGUCUCUGCUCACAGGGUCCUUACGCUGAGUGGAUGGAGCUGUGAUAUUUUAAGAAGCCUUUGAGGUGAUCCUUGUGCGUUAGCCAGAGGGAGGAAAAAAAGUGCCCUUUUGGGAGGAAAAUGGUACAGCCCUCCUCUUCCAUCUGGCUUUCCCCCCUCCGCCCUGUCCCCCCCCCCCCCCCAUCCCUUCAAGUGGUGUUGCCCUGGAAAUACCUAUGCAAUCCAGUCUCCCUAGGAGAGCGCAUGGAAGCAGGGGGUAUGUGCAGUGUAUCAUACAAAUGCUACAGCAUAUAUAUUGUAUAUAUGGACAUAUGCCGUACGUAUACACACAGAGUAAGAGAUUAAAUCACGUCUAUAUAUCUAUAAAUAAUAUCCUAUAUAUUUAUACAUUUCUAUGUUUUAAAUAGAUAUAAAAAUAGAGUCUAUAGAGAGCUGGGAGAGCAACGGGAAAGCCUGUCGCUAUGUUGUGCAAAGAGGGAGGAGGCAGGGCCUCUGCAGGGGGAGAUGUGGAAGCCAGGAGGGCACUGUCUGCCGGGAAUGGGGUCUCCUGCCCACAGUGCAGGACAGGAGAGUCCCCGGGCCUCUGCCCUCUCCGCGCACUUUCUCUCCUUUACCGCAGGCUUGGGCUGAGGUGGAAGGAGAUACUCGCCCUCUGAGCUCCAGCCGAAGUGCCCCCCACGUCCCCCCUCACCCCCUGCAGUCCGACACUUAGGUGGUCACUGCUGCUCGGCCCUGGGACGUGGUCUCUGGGCCCUGGUGGAGGGACCACUGCACAGUUUCCCCUAAUGCCCUCCCCCUACAGGAAUGAGCAGCGCUGGUGGCAACCGGAAAGGUGCACAUUGGACCCAGAGGGGCCCGGGGAGGAUGCCCUCCUUCCCCCCUUAGGUGCUUCUGCUGACCCCUAGAGGCCAAGCCUCUGAAGUGCGGCUGCUCCCGCCUCCUUCACCCCCUCCACCGCUGUCUGCCAGGGCGCUGCAGGGGUGAAGCAGGCGGCGUGAACAUCACCAGCCAGUGCUGCCCGCUACGUGGAGGCUUUCGGGCCAGGGCGGGGGGCGCCGGAGAAGGGCGGGAGCGGCAGACCCCCCGCACCCAGGGCUUCAGUGAAAACUCAAGUUCACAAGCAGGGCUUCGGCUCAGCCCGGUUUGCACAGCUGCUGUUGCUGGCUGUACUCAGGACAACGCUCUCCCCUCCCCCUCGUGGAGGCCCGUGACCCCUCCGCCCACCGCCACCGUAACAGGCAGGUUUAGUUCACGUACACUGUUCCGAUUCUGUGACUCGAGGCAGCGGCUGAGCCGGAUGCCCCGAGCUUAUCCGCUUCCACUGGGGAGGACGCCUUCCCUGGCUUUUAUCCCUGCUCCCGCCCCAGGCUGGGAAGGUGUGUCUGGGGCGUCUGGGGAGGCCGCUGGUGCAGCCGGCAGUGCCACCGAGGGCUUGCGUGGCCCCGACCAAAUCAGGAGCCCGUUCGCUUCCGGGUUUCUCUCCACCGUUUCGUUUCCCUGGAGGUAGGAGAGGAGGGGCCGACAGGGCUGCAGGUGAUAGGAGACAGCCAGCGGCCGCCCCCUCUCCUCCGGACCAGCCUAGGCCUUUCGGCUCUCCAAAGGCACUUACCUCUGUCCCCGAGCCUCCUCUGACCCCACGUCCUCCUCUUCCCUGCCAUCUACCAACGUACCUCAGUCUCCAGCAGACCCAACCUCUACACCUAUGGUCUGGGGCAGGUCUGUUUCGCCAAUGCCCACCUCUUCGCCCCUCCACGUCUGCCUGGGUCUCCUUGAGCCACAGCUGGCUGCCCACUGGGUCUCGGAAUCCCUUCCAGUGCCUCCAGAAAGACCAGGGCGGCCCGAGCCUUCCUGCCACGGUGGUGGGUCAGACCCGUGGCCAGGGGUGGGCAUCCCCGGGUAGCAAUCCACGAUGCACUGUACCUCAGAGAGAGAGCAUACCAUGGGCCUCACGGGCACCGUGCCUCCGUCCAGGCGAGGACAGCCGGUUACAGUAAAUACUGCUUGCGAGGAGACAAGGGCCAGGCUGCCCUCGGGCGCCCCUGCGUCUUCACUUUGGUCUCUCGGGAAGAGCCAGCAGGUCUGAUUUGCUCUGUUUCAGCCCUGUCUCUCUCCUUCUCUCCACCCCCACGCUGCUGAACCGAUUCAUUUCAAUCACAAAGGAAAACUAAGGUGGGGGGGGGGGAUACUUAGGAGUCUAUUAUCACACACAUAUUAAUAUGUUAAUACUUUCUUUCUUAAAAAAAAAAAAAACCUCUUGACAUUAUUUUGCAGACUACGCUUUAUAGUACCUGUGUGACGGGACCUAGAACACUGGAUACAAAUAGAGCUAUGUUGGUUUAUCAUAAUAUGUACGCAGAAACUUUCCUUUUGUCAUAUUAUCCUUGUAAUGUAAGAAGAUUGUUAAUAAAAGCAUUUAAAUUUA